Pelobates cultripes (western spadefoot toad) is the source of this 633-nucleotide non-coding RNA. The record is from the annotation of a GenBank genome assembly. NCBI's taxonomy places the organism in Eukaryota, Metazoa, Chordata, Amphibia, Anura, Pelobatidae.
CCGCUAGGCAGAUACACCCUAAUUCAAAGCAUGGAAAUAUUAAAAUCAGUUAUAGAUGGCUUCUAAAAUAAUAUAAAUCUUAAUCUGAGCCCCUACACUUACUUUGUUAAAAAUGCUAACUUGUUAAAAUAUUCAGACUAAAUAGGACAAAGGAAUUAUUUUACCAUUUUUUCAGUUAAUUUGUUACCAGUUCCUGCAUAUGUCCAGUAAUUCCUUAGUCCUGAAUAAUAAAGCUGAAAAACACUCCACAAAUUGAUUAGUUUAGGCAAUUACAUUUACAAAACAAUGCAGUUUAUUUUUUCUCAUACAACAAGACUACCCACCCCCAACAAGGACAAAUUCUCCCCCAGCUGUAGCUGAAAAGCAUGGUCACGCAGCUGUUAAAAAGGUGGUCUCUCCUUCAUGAGUCAAAAUCAUAUAUAUAUUUAUACUAAUAUUCUGUGUAUACGCACACAUAAAUCUAUUAUUCACUGAAUCUGCUUUACUAACUAGACAAAUCCAUGAAUGCCAAACAAAUGUAAAUUAGUACACAAACAUGGUCAAAUUUAGCAAUAAAACCUGGUGAACUAGUUUAGUGAAAAGUCUUUUCCUAUGCAAAUGGUAGCAAACAAUGAAACUAGGCCUCAACUCAUU